This 486-nucleotide ribosomal RNA is filed under the name uncultured bacterium. Its description in RNAcentral is "partial 16S ribosomal RNA". It matches the Rfam family "Bacterial small subunit ribosomal RNA", at positions 29 to 507 of the family's 1533-position model. The record is from RNAcentral.
AUGAACGCUAGCGAUAGGCUUAACACAUGCAAGUCGAGGGGCAGCACAAGGUAGCUUGCUAUCUGGGUGGCGACCGGCGCACGGGUGCGUAACGCGUAUGCAACUUGCCCUAUACAGGAGGAUAACCCGUCGAAAGACGGACUAAUACUGCGUAUGCUCACAACUUGGCAUCAAGUGGUGAGGAAAGAAAUUCGGUAUAGGAUAGGCAUGCGUCCCAUUAGCUUGUUGGUGAGGUAACGGCUCACCAAGGCAACGAUGGGUAGGGGAACUGAGAGGUUUAUCCCCCACACUGGUACUGAGACACGGACCAGACUCCUACGGGAGGCAGCAGUGAGGAAUAUUGGUCAAUGGGCGCGAGCCUGAACCAGCCAAGUCGCGUGAAGGAUGACUGUCUUAUGGAUUGUAAACUUCUUUUAUACGGGAAUAACAAGAGUCACGUGUGACUCCCUGCAUGUACCGUAUGAAUAAGCAGCGGCUAACUCCGUG